GGAAAGCACACGGUUUUGCUUGGAUCUCUGGGCUGGCCACGUGGCCAUACGUUCAGCACUCCAAUAGGCCUGGUCCUGGAGGCAGACAGAGAGUGAGUUAGGGCAGCAAACAGGAUCUGAAAUGGCCCCCUGCUCUGGAGAGGCCCCUCCAUGUAAACAGUACGAGUUUCUGGGAAACGUACAGAAGGCCAGGCUGUCGGGAAAGG
RNAcentral lists this long non-coding RNA (206 nucleotides) under Meriones unguiculatus (Mongolian gerbil). Its description in RNAcentral is "Maternal intergenic circadian oscillating RNA 1 (ENSMUGG00000012616.1)". It matches the Rfam family "Maternal intergenic circadian oscillating RNA 1". From Rfam's summary of the family: Maternal intergenic circadian oscillating 1 (Mico1) and Mico1 opposite strand (Mico1os) are lon non-coding RNAs. Their expression shows circadian oscillations. The record is from RNAcentral. Lineage: Eukaryota; Metazoa; Chordata; Mammalia; Rodentia; Muridae.